AUUAAUGUGCUUGAACCAACUUGUUUAUAAUAAUCAUCAUGGGUUAGUUUAAUUAUCAGUCGGUAAUUAUCAGAAGCACAAAAAAUAAGACUAACAAAAAAGUAUUCGAAAUCAAAAUAUAUAUAUUUUACACUAUAAAAAAAUUCAACUACCAAAAUAUAUAUUUUUUACAAAACCUACUCAUUCUAACCAUCCAUCAAACUUGAUGAGUGGUUAGAAAGUUAGGAGCACAAGGGCUGCUGUGCUCCUAAUAGCACAAUAGCUCUGCUCUCUCUCUCUCUCUCUCUC
Molecule: long non-coding RNA, 288 nt
Filed under: Ananas comosus (pineapple)
Lineage: Eukaryota; Viridiplantae; Streptophyta; Magnoliopsida; Poales; Bromeliaceae
Description: long non-coding RNA (ACOM_LNC006692)
Source: RNAcentral